This 392-nucleotide ribosomal RNA is filed under the name uncultured bacterium. RNAcentral's name for it is "bacterial SSU rRNA". It matches the Rfam family "Bacterial small subunit ribosomal RNA", at positions 356 to 765 of the family's 1533-position model. The record is from RNAcentral.
CGGGAAUUUUGGGCAAUGGGCGAAAGCCUGACCCAGCAACGCCGCGUGAGGGAUGAAGUAUUUCGGUAUGUAAACCUCGAAAGAAUGGGAAGAAUAAAUGACGGUACCAUUUAUAAGCUCCGGCUAACUACGUGCCAGCAGCCGCGGUAAUACGUAGGGAGCAAGCGUUGUUCGGAUUUACUGGGCGUAAAGGGCGCGUAGGCGGCGCGGUAAGUCACUUGUGAAAUCUCUGAGCUUAACUCAGAACGGCCAAGUGAUACUGCUGUGCUAGAGUGCGGAAGAGGCAACCGGAAUUCUUGGUGUAGCGGUGAAAUGCGUAGAUAUCAAGAGGAACACCUGAGGCGAAGGCGGGUUGCUGGGCCGACACUGACGCUGAUGCGCGAAAGCCAGGG